RNAcentral lists this transfer RNA (57 nucleotides) under Aphthona strigosa. Its description in RNAcentral is "tRNA-Cys". Lineage: Eukaryota; Metazoa; Arthropoda; Insecta; Coleoptera; Chrysomelidae. The record is from RNAcentral.
AGUCUUAUAUUCAAGAAUGAUUUUAAAGUGCAAAUUUAAAGGAAAAGUGUUACUUUU